RNAcentral lists this ribosomal RNA (464 nucleotides) under uncultured bacterium. RNAcentral's name for it is "partial 16S ribosomal RNA". It matches the Rfam family "Bacterial small subunit ribosomal RNA", at positions 339 to 795 of the family's 1533-position model. The record is from RNAcentral.
CUACGGGCCGCUGCAGUGGGGAAUAUUGCACAAUGGGCGCAAGCCUGAUGCAGCCAUGCCGCGUGUAUGAAGAAGGCCUUCGGGUUGUAAAGUACUUUCAGCGGGGAGGAAAGGAGUAAAGUUAGUACCUUUGCUCAUUGACGUUACCCGCAGAAGAAGCACCGGCUAACUCCGUGCCAGCAGCCGCGGUAAUACGGAGGGUGCAAGCGUUAAUCGGAAUUACUGGGCGUAAAGCGCACGCAGGCGGUUUGUUAAGUCAGAUGUGAAAUCCCCGGGCUCAACCUGGGAACUGCAUCUGAUACUGGCAAGCUUGAGUCUCGUAGAGGGGGGUAGAAUUCCAGGUGUAGCGGUGAAAUGCGUAGAGAUCUGGAGGAAUACCGGUGGCGAAGGCGGCCCCCUGGACGAAGACUGACGCUCAGGUGCGAAAGCGUGGGGAGCAAACAGGAUUAGAUACCCCCGUAGUC